RNAcentral lists this transfer RNA (74 nucleotides) under Chthonomonas sp. RNAcentral describes it as "tRNA-Gln". It matches the Rfam family "tRNA". From Rfam's summary of the family: Transfer RNA (tRNA) molecules are approximately 80 nucleotides in length. Their secondary structure includes four short double-helical elements and three loops (D, anti-codon, and T loops). Further hydrogen bonds mediate the characteristic L-shaped molecular structure. tRNAs have two regions of fundamental functional importance: the anti-codon, which is responsible for specific mRNA codon recognition, and the 3' end, to which the tRNAs corresponding amino acid is attached (by aminoacyl-tRNA synthetases). tRNAs cope with the degeneracy of the genetic code in two manners: having more than one tRNA (with a specific anti-codon) for a particular amino acid; and 'wobble' base-pairing, i.e. permitting non-standard base-pairing at the 3rd anti-codon position. RNAcentral also lists the same sequence under 1 other name. The record is from RNAcentral. Lineage: Bacteria; Bacillati; Armatimonadota; Chthonomonadia; Chthonomonadales; Chthonomonadaceae.
UGCCCGAUCGUCUAAUGGCAGGACAACUGACUCUGGAUCAGUUUGUGUUGGUUCGAAUCCAGCUCGGGCAGCCA